This 69-nucleotide transfer RNA is filed under the name Megophrys omeimontis (Mount Omei spadefoot toad). RNAcentral's name for it is "Xenophrys omeimontis (Mount Omei spadefoot toad) tRNA-Met". It matches the Rfam family "tRNA". Rfam says of the family: Transfer RNA (tRNA) molecules are approximately 80 nucleotides in length. Their secondary structure includes four short double-helical elements and three loops (D, anti-codon, and T loops). The record is from RNAcentral. Lineage: Eukaryota; Metazoa; Chordata; Amphibia; Anura; Megophryidae.
AGUAAGGUCAGCUAACUAAGCUCCUGGGCCCAUACCCCCGCCAUGAAGGUUAAAAUCCUUCCCUUACUA